This 484-nucleotide ribosomal RNA is filed under the name uncultured bacterium. RNAcentral describes it as "partial 16S ribosomal RNA". It matches the Rfam family "Bacterial small subunit ribosomal RNA", at positions 30 to 507 of the family's 1533-position model. The record is from RNAcentral.
AUUGAACGCUGGCGGCAGGCCUAACACAUGCAAGUCGAGCGGAUGAAGGGAGCUUGCUCCUGGAUUCAGCGGCGGACGGGUGAGUAAUGCCUAGGAAUCUGCCUGGUAGUGGGGGAUAACGUCCGGAAACGGGCGCUAAUACCGCAUACGUCCUGAGGGAGAAAGUGGGGGAUCUUCGGACCUCACGCUAUCAGAUGAGCCUAGGUCGGAUUAGCUAGUUGGUGGGGUAAAGGCCUACGAAGGCGACGAUCCGUAACUGGUCUGAGAGGACGAUCAGUCACACUGGAACUGAGACACGGUCCAGACUCCUACGGGAGGCAGCAGUGGGGAAUAUUGGACAAUGGGCGAAAGCCUGAUCCAGCCAUGCCGCGUGUGUGAAGAAGGUCUUCGGAUUGUAAAGCACUUUAAGUUGGGAGGAAGGGCAGUAAGUUAAUACCUUGCUGUUUUGACGUUACCAACAGAAUAAGCACCGGCUAACUUCGUG